RNAcentral lists this non-coding RNA (114 nucleotides) under uncultured Vexilliferidae. The record is from RNAcentral. Lineage: Eukaryota; Discosea; Flabellinia; Dactylopodida; Vexilliferidae.
CUCUCUCUUUUUCUCUUUGUCUUUUUUCUCUCUCAAAUUUUGCAAUGAUAAAAACAAAAGCUGGAGGCAAUGGAUCACAUGAAGAUGAACUCUCAUUUUUCUCUUCCAUAUUAU